AUUAAUAUGUAAAUAUAGAUGAGGGAUCUCCGUUUGAUGAAUCUUUUGAUGAUAUUUAAUAAUUUCUAACCUUGCUGUCAGUCAUUUAAUUGAUACCAAUUCAAUAUAUGCUGCAAAAGGCUAAUCAUUUUAAUAUUCCAAUAUAGGACAAGUCAGUUUUUUUUUUUUAUUCAGUGAUUCAAAUAUAUUUUAUCUUGUAACUUUGACCAGUUAAUUAUAAUAUUUAAAUAUUAUUAUUAGAUUUAAAUACCAUUUAAAUGUAGCAAAAUAGGAAGGAAGAGCUGACACACUACUGUUUCUUCACCUAACAGGUUUGUUGGGGAGUUUUGCUAGUUAGUAUGAUAGCAUGGGUCAAGUUUUUCCAUUUGAAAUAUAUUCUCAUACUCAGAUUCUCCAUAACGGUCAAAUUCUUCAGAAAUGCAAGACAUUGUCAUCCUUUAAUGACAGAAAUAUAUAAAAACUAAAUGAAUAUAUUAAAAUAUAUAUUAAAAUGAACUGGAUAUGAAGCACGCUUUGUUUUGUGUAUCCAGUAAUGUGUUUCUGUAUCAUUAUGUUCUUAUUUAAAGGUUGAUCAGGAACAAGUGAUCUUUUCUAACUGAUCCGACUUAAGGUUUUCAUUUAAUGGAAGAUCAAAACUACUCCCAAACUCCCAUAGAUCUUCAUUGAGGGGGUCAAAGCUUUUAUAAAAUCACUCUGAUAGGCCUUUAUCAUAGUCUGUUCCGAUUAGUAGAGUAAACUAAUUUGCGCCUGCAUUAUUGUCAAUAGACGGAUGCCAGUUUUGUGAAGAAAAUUAAGCUAAAUUAGUUUAACUUAACAAUAACCGUCAAUAUUUAAAAACAUGUUUAUUUAGACACAAUACCCUACUAUAUGUAUGUCAUCUUUUAUUUUAUUGUGUAACAUUAUCUGAGAGAUGCAGUUGUCAGCGCUGCUGGUGUUGCCAGGAAUGAGAUUAACAAGCAGCAUGCAGCACAAACUGCCUUGCCUCACUCCUGUUCGUACUAGAAAGGCAUUCACGAGUUGCCUGCCACAAACUAUCCUGCAGGUCAUCCCUUCAUAAGAGUUUUUGAUGAUGUUUGUGAUCUUUUCUGGCACUCCAUGGUGUCUUAGUAUCUUCCAGAGGGUCUGUCUAUCCACGUUGUCAAACACCUUCUCAUAGUCUAUGAAACUGACAUAGAGAGGAGAGUUCCACUCCAGCCACUGCUCCAAGAUGAUACGUAAUGUUGCAAUCUGGUUUGCAACUGACAAUAUGACUGCCGUUGACCUGGCCCUUCUCUCUCACACCCAACAACAGAUGCAGGAAAAGGCCAGCACUGUCGCGGAUACCUCAGCAAGUCUGGGCCUCAACAUCAAUAGAGAGAAAAGCAAGGGGGUUGGGCGUCACGGCAUUUGUUUCCCGGCGGACCAUUAAAGAACACGACACACACGUCUCCCAGACAUCCUGUAGAAUUCAACCAACCAGAUGACGACUUUGAAAAUCCUGAAGUGUUUCCGGAUAAGUGUGCCAUAUGCAUCAGACGUUCGGCCAACAGUCUGUGGGUGUGACGUCUGAGGCUGAGAUAAGGUCUAAACCAGCAUUAUAGGAACUACCAGUGACAGUGGAACUGUGAUUCUUACAUGACGGCCUUCACACAUGGAAGACUUUCAUUUUUGCUGCCUGAAACCGAUGAUAGGAUCAGUCAACUCUACUGUGGAGACGGCAAUACAACACAGGCUCCUCACCUUCUGAUCAGCCUGUGCUGAGACUGAAGAACAAGUGGUCGACCGAGGGGUGAUGUGGGGGUUUCUUUCCAAGGGGACAGGUGACAUCUCUGUGGGAGGAAGUUCUGAUGUUUAUUUUCCCCCUUGUGAGCGUUGAUAAAAGUGCACAUUGUGGUGAACUGAGACAAUACGCAUCAGACUCAC
This is a long non-coding RNA of Ctenopharyngodon idella (grass carp), 1902 nucleotides long. RefSeq lists it as uncharacterized. The transcript has 4 exons. The record is from RefSeq and is a predicted model, not a curated record. NCBI's taxonomy places the organism in Eukaryota, Metazoa, Chordata, Actinopteri, Cypriniformes, Xenocyprididae.